Durio zibethinus is the source of this 759-nucleotide non-coding RNA. NCBI's taxonomy places the organism in Eukaryota, Viridiplantae, Streptophyta, Magnoliopsida, Malvales, Malvaceae. The record is from RefSeq and is a predicted model, not a curated record.
UACUUGUUUCAAGACUUCGUGCGGAUUUGAGUUUAGCGUGAAUAGGUGGACUCAUACCCAUUACGCCACGUCAACACCCUUCCAUUCUCUUUUAAAACCAAGCUCUCCCUCAUUACCUUCAGUAAAAUUCAGACCAAACCAAAGUCUCUCUGUCGAUUUAUUCCUUUCAUACAAAGCAAAAAACGAAAAUAAAUGGAGGGUCUUAUUCCUUUUGUUUACAGGGCUAUAGUCCAAUACAAGAAUGGCAGAGAAGGUGUUUUAGAAACAUGGUUCAAUGAGACAGCCUCAGCUUCAUACAUGAGACUCCCAGCUGGAGAUUCUGGUCGGUUUCAGAUAUCUGAUAAACAGGUCUUUCAAUCAGAUUAUGGGAAUUUUUCAUCACCAUCUUCCAUGGCUACUUCUUCUACUACUCAGAUUAUUUUAUCAACCGGAGUUCAGUCUCCUGUCCGUCGUUUGACUUCUCGCCGCGUCAUUACAUGAUGAUCAUCAUCAUCUGAAGGAAGCUGAAGGUGUGCCACUCUAGUCAAAUUAGUGUAUGGGUUCUAGAGUGUGUGUGAAAAAAGUGAUGGGAUGAACAAAGAGUUAAAGGCGUUGGGAGACCAAAGGGAUCGCCCUAUGCCUUUAUAUUGUUUUUGUUAUUGUUGUUAAGCUUAGUGUAAAUAUACCUGAUGUUCUUUAUUAAUGUUUCAAGGACAAAGGGCUUCUUGUUAUGUUAAUUGUGGAAUCAAAUGCAGCAAGAACGAUCAGUUUGUGUUUGUG